RNAcentral lists this ribosomal RNA (1369 nucleotides) under uncultured bacterium. Its description in RNAcentral is "bacterial SSU rRNA". It matches the Rfam family "Bacterial small subunit ribosomal RNA", at positions 28 to 1381 of the family's 1533-position model. The record is from RNAcentral.
GACGAACGCUUGCGGCGUGCCUAAUACAUGCAAGUAGAACGCUGAAGAGAGGAGCUUGCUCUUCUUGGAUGAGUUGCGAACGGGUGAGUAACGCGUAGGUAACCUGCCUUGUAGCGGGGGAUAACUAUUGGAAACGAUAGCUAAUACCGCAUAACAAUGGAUGACACAUGUCAUUUAUUUGAAAGGGGCAAUUGCUCCACUACAAGAUGGACCUGCGUUGUAUUAGCUAGUAGGUGAGGUAAUGGCUCACCUAGGCGACGAUACAUAGCCGACCUGAGAGGGUGAUCGGCCACACUGGGACUGAGACACGGCCCAGACUCCUACGGGAGGCAGCAGUAGGGAAUCUUCGGCAAUGGGGGCAACCCUGACCGAGCAACGCCGCGUGAGUGAAGAAGGUUUUCGGAUCGUAAAGCUCUGUUGUAAGUCAAGAGCGGGUGUGAGAGUGGAAAGUUCACACUGUGACGGUAGCUUACCAGAAAGGGACGGCUAACUACGUGCCAGCAGCCGCGGUAAUACGUAGGUCCCGAGCGUUGUCCGGAUUUAUUGGGCGUAAAGCGAGCGCAGGCGGUUUGAUAAGUCUGAAGUUAAAGGCUGUGGCUCAACCAUAGUUCGCUUUGGAAACUGUCAAACUUGAGUGCAGAAGGGGAGAGUGGAAUUCCAUGUGUAGCGGUGAAAUGCGUAGAUAUAUGGAGGAACACCGGUGGCGAAAGCGGCUCUCUGGUCUGUAACUGACGCUGAGGCUCGAAAGCGUGGGGAGCGAACAGGAUUAGAUACCCUGGUAGUCCACGCCGUAAACGAUGAGUGCUAGGUGUUGGAUCCUUUCCGGGAUUCAGUGCCGCAGCUAACGCAUUAAGCACUCCGCCUGGGGAGUACGACCGCAAGGUUGAAACUCAAAGGAAUUGACGGGGGCCCGCACAAGCGGUGGAGCAUGUGGUUUAAUUCGAAGCAACGCGAAGAACCUUACCAGGUCUUGACAUCCCGAUGCUAUUUCUAGAGAUAGAAAGUUACUUCGGUACAUCGGUGACAGGUGGUGCAUGGUUGUCGUCAGCUCGUGUCGUGAGAUGUUGGGUUAAGUCCCGCAACGAGCGCAACCCCUAUUGUUAGUUGCCAUCAUUCAGUUGGGCACUCUAGCGAGACUGCCGGUAAUAAACCGGAGGAAGGUGGGGAUGACGUCAAAUCAUCAUGCCCCUUAUGACCUGGGCUACACACGUGCUACAAUGGUUGGUACAACGAGUUGCGAGUCGGUGACGGCGAGCUAAUCUCUUAAAGCCAAUCUCAGUUCGGAUUGUAGGCUGCAACUCGCCUACAUGAAGUCGGAAUCGCUAGUAAUCGCGGAUCAGCACGCCGCGGUGAAUACGUUCCCGGGCCU